This 510-nucleotide ribosomal RNA is filed under the name uncultured bacterium. Its description in RNAcentral is "bacterial SSU rRNA". It matches the Rfam family "Bacterial small subunit ribosomal RNA", at positions 28 to 526 of the family's 1533-position model. The record is from RNAcentral.
GACGAACGCUGGCGGCGUGCCUAAUACAUGCAAGUCGAGCGGAGUUAUUCCUUCGGGAAUAGCUUAGCGGCGGACGGGUGAGUAACACGUAGGCAACCUGCCCACAAGUCUGGGAUAACAUUCGGAAACGAAUGCUAAGACCGGAUACGCAACUUGGUCGCAUGACUGGGUUGGGAAACACGGUGCAAGCUGUGGUUUGUGGAUGGGCCAGCGGCGCAUUAGCUAGUUGGUGAGGUAACGGCCCACCAAGGCGACGAUGCGUAGCCGACCUGAGAGGGUGAACGGCCACACUGGGACUGAGACACGGCCCAGACUCCUACGGGAGGCAGCAGUAGGGAAUCUUCCACAAUGGGCGAAAGCCUGAUGGAGCAACGCCGCGUGAGUGAGGAAGGCUUUCGGGUCGUAAAGCUCUGUUGCCAGGGAAGAAUAAGGGCCAUUUAACUGAUGGUCCGAUGACGGUACCUGAGAAGAAAGCCCCGGCUAACUACGUGCCAGCCGCCGCAGUAACAC